CGCGCAGGCGGUCUGAUAAGUUAGGCGUGAAAGCUCCCGGCUAAACCGGGAGAGGUCGUCUGAUACUGUCGGACUAGAGUAUGGCAGAGGCGUGUAGAAUUCCGCGUGUAGUGGUGAAAUGCGUAGAUAUGCGGAGGAACACCAGUGGCGAAGGCGGCACGCUGGGCCAAAACUGACGCUGAGGCGCGAAAGCAUGGGUAGCGAACG
Molecule: ribosomal RNA, 207 nt
Filed under: uncultured bacterium
Lineage: Bacteria
Description: partial 16S ribosomal RNA
Rfam family: Bacterial small subunit ribosomal RNA
Source: RNAcentral